UACAACGAAACUGCGAAUGGCUCGGUAAAACAGCAAUAAUUUAUUCGGGGGUAAUUGCUACUUGGAUAACCGUAGUAAAGCUAGAGCUAAUACGUGCUACAAAGGCGAGAUUCGCUCUCGUGGUACUAAGUAUUAGGUACAACCCAAUUUUAUUGGUGAUUCAUACUUAUCUUCUGAUCGCACUCUGUGCGACGCCCCGAAUAAAUUUCUGACCUAUCAACUUCGAUGGUAAGGUAGUGUCUUACCAUGGUUGUGACGGGUAACGGACCGUGGGUGCGGGAUUCCGGAGAGGGAGCCUGAGAAACGGCUACCACAUCCAAGGAAGGCAGCAGGCGCGCAACUUACCCAAUCCGAACUUCGGGAGGUAGUGACAAAAAAUAUCAAUAAGGGGACCGAUGGUCUUCUUAAUUGGAAUGAAAACAAUCUAAACACCUUAUUAAGGAACCAGCAGAGGGCAAGUCUGGUGCCAGCAGCCGCGGUAAUUCCAGCUCUGUAAGCGUAUACCAAAGUUGUUGCAGUUAAAACGCUCGUAGUCGAACUUUGGCGUGAGUUACGGAGACUCCUAAUGGACGUUGAUGUAACUCCGCCUUUGUGGAGGGGGGUGUGGUGGUACUUUAUUGUAUUGCUGCGCUUCCGCCACUGUUUACUGUGAAAAAAUUAGAGUGUUCAAAGCGAGCGUUUGCCAUGAAUACAUUAGCAUGGAAUAAUAGAAUAGGACCUGGUCCUGUUUUAUUGGUUUGUCUGUAUCAGGUAAUGAUUAACAGGGACGGUCGGGGGCAUUUGUAUUCCAGCGUUAGAGGUGAAAUUCUUGGAUCGCUGGAAGACAAACAGCUGCGAAAGCGUCUGCCAAGGACGUUUUCAUUGAUCAAGAACGAAAGUAAGGGGAUCGAAGACGAUCAGAUACCGUCGUAGUCUUUACUAUAAACGAUGAUGACUAAGGAUCAGCCGUGGCCUAUUGGUACGGUUGGCACUUUCCGGGAAACCAAAGUUUUUGAUUUCUGGGGGGAGUAUGGUCGCAAGUCUGAAACUUAAAGGAAUUGACGGAAGGGCAUCACCGGGUGUGGAGCCUGCGGCUUAAUUUGACUCAACACGGGAAAACUUACCAGGUCCAGACAUAGUAAGGAUUGACAGAUUGAGAGCUCUUUCUUGAUUCUAUGGUUGGUG
Molecule: ribosomal RNA, 1164 nt
Filed under: Laurencia sp. ARS-2010
Lineage: Eukaryota; Rhodophyta; Florideophyceae; Ceramiales; Rhodomelaceae
Description: SSU rRNA
Rfam family: Eukaryotic small subunit ribosomal RNA
Source: RNAcentral